GAUCUUGGGUUGGACUUGGAGUUGCAUAACGUUGCCCAGUUGCUAACCCAUCCUGGACAAAUUGCGAUGCCAAGACGAUCCAAGUCGUCAGCAACAGCGGUGCGAACAUCCUGGGUCGAUGCUGCGAGCCUUUCCCAGCUGUGUUCAUGGAAUACACAUGCAUCCAACCGUACCAGGGACUAUGGCGUCCGGUCCAGGCGAAAUUCAAGCUUUCUCCGCUGAUUUCUAAACCCUUCUGACCGCAAUAUUGCAAGUUCAUCAAAGAAGACACGAACCAUCUUACAAACUGAAAAUUAUUAUUCAUACUACUUUUGUUCACUAAUCUCCAGCAAUGUGCAAGUCGUCGAGUUACAUCUAAAGAAGUACCUCGCUGUGCAGCAGAUGUUUAUUGUUCGUGAUCAGAUCAGGAUAUUCCACGUUCGUCGUAAAUACUGUUGGAGAAGCCUGAAGAAAUAUUUCCGUUUCCAAACUCAUGUAUAAAUGGUACAUUAAUAUAAUAUAAAUUAUGUGUAAUAUUGAUUUAAUUUAAAACUUAUAUAUAUUAAUUUAAAGAAUCAAUGUCCAUUAUUCGAAAUACACAUUUAAAACAGUGGUAGUACA
Molecule: long non-coding RNA, 600 nt
Organism: Solenopsis invicta (red fire ant)
Lineage: Eukaryota; Metazoa; Arthropoda; Insecta; Hymenoptera; Formicidae
Exons: 2
Source: RefSeq, a predicted model, not a curated record